Molecule: non-coding RNA, 66 nt
Organism: Lucilia cuprina (Australian sheep blowfly)
Lineage: Eukaryota; Metazoa; Arthropoda; Insecta; Diptera; Calliphoridae
Rfam family: Retron msr RNA
About the family: Retron elements are found in a wide range of mainly Gram-negative bacteria. The retron encodes a reverse transcriptase that is responsible for the production of a small satellite DNA called msDNA (multi-copy single-stranded DNA). msDNA has both DNA (encoded by the retron msd gene) and RNA (encoded by the msr gene) components. The 5' end of msDNA is linked to an internal guanosine residue of the RNA strand by a 2'-5' linkage.
Source: Rfam
ACUCUUUAGCGUUGGACGUUUUAUGUCUUGUCGGGUGAUUAGCCAGACACUAAUUUAUUGAGCACA